Molecule: long non-coding RNA, 4655 nt
Organism: Misgurnus anguillicaudatus (oriental weatherfish)
Lineage: Eukaryota; Metazoa; Chordata; Actinopteri; Cypriniformes; Cobitidae
Source: RefSeq, a predicted model, not a curated record
AUAGGGCUUAUAAUGUUUUACCCUUAAAGGUCAUGUUUGCAUGAAACUGUGCUGUGUGUUUGUUUAACUUGUUGAGUUACAGAAAGUCAACUCGGCCAGUUGGGGUGUGAAAAACAACAGGAUGCAGGAGCUAUUUUGUGCAAGCUACUGCAGUUAUUUGUGCAAACGGGGACUUCCAAAGCAGAAGUGAAAAGUUCCAUCGAAGAAGACCCACCCCAACUCAACUCAUAAAUAUCUUGGGUCAAGGGACAGGCUAUAAGCCUUGCAGCUCAACUGUCAGGUGGUUCGCAUUGGUUUUGUGUAGUGAAAAAUUUGAACUUUGGCGGAAUUUCGCGCCGCGUUAACAAAUCAGGAGCCUGCCUGCUGCUGUGGUGGCAGCCCCGCCCGGAGUCACUCAUUCAAGCAGUCACUCGGAGCUAUAUGACACAAGUUCUUAUUUCUAUAGGAUACAGGAAUAAAAAGGACCUCGCUUUGAAGAGUGUCAGUAAGGACUUUGGGCAACCUGAUGCUGUAACCAUAAAGCAACCAGGACAACACACCUGGAGUGACCGAAAGCAGGAUGAAGAAAGAUUCGGACGAGAAAAUAUCAACUGGUGCCCAUGAGGAGACAUUGUUCUUGGACCUGCUUUUUCUGUUUAGUAAUAAGUGGUUUUAUGUGGUUAAAUAAAAGUAAUUUAAUAUUCAAUCCACAAGCAAAUUUCCUACAUUUUCUUAAAGGGGUAGUUCACCCAAAAAGGAAAAUUCUGUCAUCAUUUACACAAACAGUUUGGUUACAAACAUUUUUUUUACAAUAUCUACCUUCGUGUUUAUCAGAACAAAGAAAGUUAUGCGGGUUUGUAACAACAUGAGAGUGUGUAAAUGAUGACAGAAUUUUCACUUUUGGGUGAACUACCCCUUUAACAUUUUUAUACCCAGGGGUAAAAGAAAUGUAUGUUGAACAUUUUUAGUUUGCCUUUUUUUGUUACUGCUACUUUCAACAAGUCUAAUUAUUCAGCCAAGCUUAUUUUGUACUUUAAGAAAUGAACAGCUUUUAUGGGUUUUAAGGCCGAGAAAAAUGCCCAGUGGUCCCACAAUUUUCCCUCAGUAUGCCCACACUUUGUCCAUUGUGCCCACAUUUUUCCCAUGUAUUUGUAUUUAAAUACAUUUUUCCACACAGUAUUUUGUAUUUGUGAUAUCUGUGAAUUUGUGAUAGUACUUUUUAUUUGAAUUUUAAAACAAUUACAUAUAUGCGUGUAUGCCUAUCUCAGAUCACAUGCAUGUAAAAGGCAGUUUCUGGUAUAAAUAGCAGAACACAAAAGGUUUUCUGUGUCAUUAGAAAUGCAGUCAAAAAGUGGGACAACAAGGAUAACUGAUCAUUAAGGUAAGAACCUUAACCAUGCCAGGCGAGGGAUAUAUUAUGGAAAAAACAAACCAAUUAAUGAAAUAUUCACGUCAUAUGUGUAUUUGACAUAUAAAUUCGUAUUACCUUUUUGUUAGCUGUCCUAUUUUGAGAUACGUAUUAGCCUAAUAAUAAUAAUAGUAUAAUGUAUUAUAUAAUAUUAAUUCUUAAAAUGAGGAUAAACCCUUGGAAAGACAUAGGAAAUAAUAUAGAAAUUUAGCCCUUAUAUGGACGUCUUUUCAACGACAAUGAAAAGUCUUUUAACCUUUCACUUUUCAACCAAAUUUAGCCUUUUUCUAGACGUCGAUUUAUAGGCGUCUUUUCAACGGCAUGAAAAACACGUCUUUUCACCUUUCACUUUUCAACCAGAAUUUCACAUCAUUAAGACGUCUGGAGAAGUCGUCGUUUCGAUGUCUUUUCAACCAGAUUUUGCUGGGUGGGUGGGCUUCCAUAAACAUUCUCUUUAUCUAUCUUGUUUACACACAGAUAGAACAGUCAGAGCCGGCGCCAGACCAUAACUUACAGGGGGGCACUCGGCUUCCAACGGGGGGCACGCAAUAGCAACAAUAACUUGCAAAAACAAGACAUUAAAACAACAAAUACAGCAAGCACACACUCAUACAACUAGUAAAGACUGUCAGUUCAUUUCCCGUAUAAAGUGCAAAAGACCACAAACUAUGCGCAAAACUAUUGAACUUCGACCGCGGCGUGAGCGCAAGCUGAGCUCCGCUGCGCUUGGCUCGGCGCAAGACAUUAAAAUGAAUGGGUUUCAUAGCGCAGCGCACACCGCGUCCUAGCUUUAAAAAAGCUGCUUUACCAUAAUCACGUCGUAAUGCUGUUAACGGUCUAUAGCCACACAUUUAAGCUUACGUAAUUUAAAACAACGCUAACUUACCUUUAAAAUAGCUGAAGACGGCGUGUAAGAACAUUAAACUUCCUUAAAACAGUGUCCUGUAGAUUUGUAAAUUCCACCUCGACCUCUAAUCUCUGAGUUUGCAGGCAUAGCCAGUCUGUGUUUGCAUGAAGAUGAAGCAGGCGGUGCUGGUUCGUUCUAAAUGUUCUAAUAUCCAUAUUUUACACGAUCCAUAAAAUGCCACGAAAAAACACGUUGCUAGUAUCAAGUCACAAAUAUGCUAAAGACGUAAGACGGGUGAGACGCGGCAAUACAUCCAAUCAGAGAAACUGGUCUAUUUUAAUUAAAGAAAACAUAUAUCAACUAUAUUUUCCUCAUUUGAUUACAUUACAAGUCAUGAAACAUUCAAUGUUUAAUUUAUUUGAAUUAUUCUUGAUAUAUAUUAAAGUAAUAAAAAACUUUGUAGGGGGGGCACAACAACCUGUUCGGGGGGGGCACUGCCCGCGACUGCCCCCCCUUGACCCCGGCCCUGAGAACAGUUCUUUGAAACUUCCCAAAUGUGAAACUGAACCACCAAGAUAUAUAUAAAAUAUAGAAAUACAAUGAAUUAAUGAAUGAUAUAAUAAAAUAUAGAAAUAUAAUAAAGAAUGAAUAAAUGAAUAAUGAAUAAAAACAAUAAUGAAUAAAUUAAUUAAUAAACAAUAAUGUAAUAAUAAAAAUGAUAAUAAUGAAAUUGAUAAUGAUAAAAUAAUAUUUAAUAAUCAAAUACAAUAAUUAAAUGGAUAAUAACUAAUGAUUAUAAAAUGAUUAUGUAAAUAAAUGAUUAAAGAUAAAAAACACAAUAAUAAAAACAUUCUGCACGUGAGGAUCUAAGGUAGGAUCCUUCACUCCCCCCUCUUAAUCAUAUAAGACAAAAUUAAAUGAUUAUAGCAAGCAAACUUUCAUAAUCUUUAUCAAAACACAGCUUUAAAAAGCUUGGAUGGCCAGUCCUUACUUUUCCCUUCUACAUGCUCUUAAAAGAACAGGUCAUUUCUGUGUUUCCGCGUACCAGCGUCGGUUGAGGGAGUAUGUCUUAUACUGAAUAAUGGCCUUGAUGGGCCUGUCACAGUCAAGUGUCUAAUAAGACAAAUCAACACUCUUAUGACUCUUAUGUACAAGAGCAAGAUGACAAACACUUUUGAAAUUGCGACUACCAAAGGUGGUUUUUAAAUGAUUCCAAAGUGGUUCUAAUAUUGAUGUAAACCAGUCAGAUGAGAAAAGACCAUGGUUUUUAUUUAGCUUAGCUAUUCGUUUGUGCAAAACUUUAGCCAGAUUAUCAACCACUUUCCCAGAAUCUUCCGGAAUGUAUAGGCAACAUAACAUUCGCUCGCAAUUACAAUUACAUGUGCUCCCCUGAGAAGCCAACAGCAUGUCAAGUGCCAUUUGAUUUUGCAAAACAACUUUUCUAUAGAAAAUAAAAGUAGAAAAAGCAAUAGAAAUAAAAGUGACAUUCGCUGUAGCUUCAAAUGCUUCAUUUAAUGUGUGUACUUCGUUUUGUAAAUCAGUUACUUCCCAGAAUGGAACAAGUCUUCCUAAACAUUUCUCAGUAUCAGAAAUCGAACGUAUGUCUCAUGAUUAAGUGCUACUUGUCGUGACUUUGGUUUUUGUGACUGCUGUAUUUUUGUUUCUCUGUUCAUGUUUCUGUGUUGACUGUUUUCACACAUGCGCGGCUCUGUCACGGGUGUCAUUGGUGUCAUUUCUUUCACCUGCGUCUCUCACCUGAUAUUCAUUUGAUGCCCAAUCGGUUUAGUAUUUAAUCCCUGUGUGUGUGUUUGUUCCUUGCAAGUUCGUCUGUGUAUGUUCUCGCCAUUACUAGCUUAGCUAGUUUCCAGUCUUGUCUUGUGUCGAUUUCUAGUUUGGAUUUAUUUAUUUCAUUUGUGCUAUCUGCUGUCCAGGAAUUAUAGCUGGGAUUCUGUUCACACCCUCGGCUCUCUGGACUGUUUCUCUGCUGCCUGUUUCGGAUUAUCUUCAACCUCAGUUGGAUUUACAGACUGAUCUAUUACUUAACUGCAGAGACUCGUCGCGGCAUUGUCGCUGUCCAUCGGAGAGGUCCUUCAUCACUGGAGCUGUCCAGCUUCUCUCAUCUGUUUCUCUAACGCUCUCUCUCUCUCCCUCUGCCCGCCGCAGGAUUUACCCCCUGUCCCAGUGGGUUCCGUGACGCGGCGCUCACGGGAGCGGUCUACGCACCCUACCCCGUAUCGGGGCCCCCAUACUCUCUCCCACCGUUCGUUUGUCUGGCCGGAGCCCGAACGUGUGUGGUUCAUCGUUCCGGUGCCAGUGUGUGAUCUCCACCCCAGCCGUCUGCCUUGGUGUGGCUUUGAGCCCAGACGUGCUUUUGACAUUUUCCUCUCAUUAUCAUUUAAAUAAAGUCUUCUGUUAUCCGCA